This 254-nucleotide ribosomal RNA is filed under the name uncultured bacterium. RNAcentral's name for it is "partial 16S ribosomal RNA". It matches the Rfam family "Bacterial small subunit ribosomal RNA", at positions 524 to 776 of the family's 1533-position model. The record is from RNAcentral.
UACGUAGGGCGCAAGCGUUGUCCGGAAUUAUUGGGCGUAAAGAGCUCGUAGGCGGCUUGUCACGUCGGGUGUGAAAGCCCGGGGCUUAACCCCGGGUCUGCAUUCGAUACGGGCAGGCUAGAGUGUGGUAGGGGAGAUCGGAAUUCCUGGUGUAGCGGUGAAAUGCGCAGAUAUCAGGAGGAACACCGGUGGCGAAGGCGGAUCUCUGGGCCAUUACUGACGCUGAGGAGCGAAAGCGUGGGGGAGCGAACAGG